UUGGAGGGCAAGUCUGGUGCCAGCAGCCGCGGUAAUUCCAGCUCCAAUAGCGUAUAUUAAAGUUGUUGCAGUUAAAAAGCUCGUAGUUGAAUUUCGGGAUUGACACAUCGGUCGUGCCUUAAGGGGUAUGAACUGGUGUAGUCAGUUUCUCACCUUCUGGAGAACCGCGAUGUCCUUAAUUGGGUGCCGCGAGGAACCAGGACCUUUACUUUGAAAAAAUUAGAGUGUUUAAAGCAGGCAUUUUGCUUGAAUACAUUAGCAUGGAAUAAUAAAAUAGGACGGAUGGUUCUAUUUUGUUGGUUUCUAGGAUCACCGUAAUGAUUAAUAGGGAUAGUUGGGGGCAUUAGUAUUCAAUUGUCAGAGGUGAAAUUCUUGGAUUUAUUGAAGACUAACUACUGCGAAAGCAUUUGCCAAGGAUGUUUUCAUUAAUCAAGAACGAAAGUUAGGGGAUCGAAGACGAUCAGAUACCGUCGUAGUCUUAACCAUAAACUAUGCCGACUAGGAAUCAGACGAUGUUAAUUUUUUAAUGACUCGUUUGGCACCUUACGGGAAAC
Molecule: ribosomal RNA, 554 nt
Filed under: uncultured Glomeromycotina
Lineage: Eukaryota; Fungi; Glomeromycota
Description: SSU rRNA
Rfam family: Eukaryotic small subunit ribosomal RNA
Source: RNAcentral